GAUUGAACGCUGGCGGUAUGCUUAACACAUGCAAGUCGAACGGAAACGAUACUAGCUUGCUAGUAGGCGUCGAGUGGCGGACGGGUGAGUAACGCGUAGGAAUCUGCCUGAUAGUGGGGGAUAGCCCGAAGAAAUUCGGAUUAAUACCGCAUAAUCUAUUCGUAGUAAAGUGGGGGACUUUCGAGCCUCACGCUAUCAGAUGAGCCUGCGUAAGAUUAGCUUGUUGGUAGGGUAAAAGCCUACCAAGGCGACGAUCUUUAGCUGGUCUGAGAGGAUGAUCAGCCACAUCGGGACUGAGACACGGCCCGAACUCCUACGGGAGGCAGCAGUGGGGAAUAUUGGACAAUGGGGGCAACCCUGAUCCAGCAAUACCGCGUGUGUGAAGAAGGCCUGAGGGUUGUAAAGCACUUUCAAUUGUGAAGAAAAGUUAGCGGUUAAUAACCGUUAGCCUUGACGUUAACUUUAGAAGAAGCACCGGCUAACUCCGUGCCAGCAGCCGCGGUAAUACGGAGGGUGCAAGCGUUAAUCGGAAUUACUGGGCGUAAAGCGUGCGUAGGUGGUUUAUUAAGUCAGAUGUGAAAGCCCCGGGCUUAACCUGGGAACUGCAUUUGAAACUGGUCAACUAGAGUAUGGUAGAGGAAAGUGGAAUUUCUGGUGUAGCGGUGAAAUGCGUAGAUAUCAGAAGGAACAUCAAUGGCGAAGGCAGCUUUCUGGACCAAUACUGACACUGAGGUACGAAAGCGUGGGUAGCAAACAGGAUUAGAUACCCUGGUAGUCCACGCCGUAAACGAUGAUAACUAGCCGUUGGGGGGAUUUACCCUUUAGUGGCGAAGCUAACGCGUUAAGUUAUCCGCCUGGGGAGUACGGCCGCAAGGUUAAAACUCAAAGGAAUUGACGGGGACCCGUACAAGCGGUGGAGCAUGUGGUUUAAUUCGAUGCAACGCGAAGAACCUUACCUGGUCUUGACAUCCUGCGAACUUUCUAGAAAUAGAUUGGUGCCUUCGGGAACGCAGUGACAGGUGCUGCAUGGCUGUCGUCAGCUCGUGUCGUGAGAUGUUGGGUUAAGUCCCGUAACGAGCGCAACCCCUAUCCUUAUUUGCCAGCACAUCAUGGUGGGAACUAUAAGGAGACUGCCGGUGAUAAACCGGAGGAAGGCGGGGACGACGUCAAGUCAUCAUGGCCCUUACGACCAGGGCUACACACGUGCUACAAUGGGAAGGACAAAGAGCCGCGAAGCCGCGAGGUGUAGCUAAUCUCAUAAACCUUUUCGUAGUCCGGAUUGGAGUCUGCAACUCGACUCCAUGAAGUCGGAAUCGCUAGUAAUCGUAGAUCAGAAUGCUACGGUGAAUACGUUCCCGGGUCUUGUACACACCGCCCG
RNAcentral lists this ribosomal RNA (1378 nucleotides) under uncultured bacterium. Its description in RNAcentral is "bacterial SSU rRNA". It matches the Rfam family "Bacterial small subunit ribosomal RNA", at positions 27 to 1396 of the family's 1533-position model. The record is from RNAcentral.